GGAAUUUGGUUAUUGUGAUAAUGUAGAUUUAAUAUUAUUUGUUGGAUACCAAUUUUUCGUGGAUUUCGUGGGUAUCAGUUAACCAUGAAAAUAGAUGUUCAAGGAAUAACAAAUUUUCUUGAGGAUGUACUAAGGUGAGGUUUUGGAAUUCGUGUCAAAUGUUGGACUUUGGUGUUUUUCCAUUCAAUACCAGGUAAAUUAUUUUGCCCCAUAAACCCCAUUUAUUUUUUCAUAUAAGACUUAAUAGCUCUUGAAAGGUCAUUUACCAAAAUUU
RNAcentral lists this long non-coding RNA (274 nucleotides) under Mytilus galloprovincialis (Mediterranean mussel). Lineage: Eukaryota; Metazoa; Mollusca; Bivalvia; Mytilida; Mytilidae. The record is from RNAcentral.